GAACGCUGGCGGCGUGCCUAAUACAUGCAAGUCGAGCGAACAGACGAGGAGCUUGCUCCUCUGACGUUAGCGGCGGACGGGUGAGUAACAUGUGGAUAACCUACCUAUAAGACUGGGAUAACUUCGGGAAACCGGAGCUAAUACCGGAUAAUAUAAUGAACCGCAUGGUUCAAUAGUGAAAGACGGUUUUGCUGUCACUUAUAGAUGGAUCCGCGCCGCAUUAGCUAGUUGGUAAGGUAACGGCUUACCAAGGCAACGAUGCGUAGCCGACCUGAGAGGGUGAUCGGCCACACUGGAACUGAGACACGGUCCAGACUCCUACGGGAGGCAGCAGUAGGGAAUCUUCCGCAAUGGGCGAAAGCCUGACGGAGCAACGCCGCGUGAGUGAUGAAGGUCUUCGGAUCGUAAAACUCUGUUAUUAGGGAAGAACAAAUGUGUAAGUAACUAUGCACGUCUUGACGGUACCUAAUCAGAAAGCCACGGCUAACUACGUG
RNAcentral lists this ribosomal RNA (494 nucleotides) under uncultured bacterium. Its description in RNAcentral is "partial 16S ribosomal RNA". It matches the Rfam family "Bacterial small subunit ribosomal RNA", at positions 31 to 507 of the family's 1533-position model. The record is from RNAcentral.